This 64-nucleotide transfer RNA is filed under the name Cavia porcellus (domestic guinea pig). It matches the Rfam family "tRNA", at positions 1 to 62 of the family's 71-position model. Rfam says of the family: Transfer RNA (tRNA) molecules are approximately 80 nucleotides in length. Their secondary structure includes four short double-helical elements and three loops (D, anti-codon, and T loops). The record is from Rfam by way of RNAcentral. Lineage: Eukaryota; Metazoa; Chordata; Mammalia; Rodentia; Caviidae.
GGGGGUUUAGCUCAGCAGCAUGAGCGCAUGCCUGGCAAGCAUGAGGUCAUGAGUUCAAUACCCA